RNAcentral lists this ribosomal RNA (228 nucleotides) under Escherichia coli. RNAcentral's name for it is "partial 23S ribosomal RNA". It matches the Rfam family "Bacterial large subunit ribosomal RNA", at positions 1 to 220 of the family's 2925-position model. Lineage: Bacteria; Pseudomonadati; Pseudomonadota; Gammaproteobacteria; Enterobacterales; Enterobacteriaceae. The record is from RNAcentral. RNAcentral also lists the same sequence under 1 other name.
GGGUUGUGAGGUUAAGCGACUAAGCGUACACGGUGGAUGCCCUGGCAGUCAGAGGCGAUGAAGGACGUGCUAAUCUGCGAUAAGCGUCGGUAAGGUGAUAUGAACCGUUAUAACCGGCGAUUUCCGAAUGGGGAAACCCAGUGUGAUUCGUCACACUAUCAUUAACUGAAUCCAUAGGUUAAUGAGGCGAACCGGGGGAACUGAAACAUCUAAGUACCCCGAGGAAAA